Molecule: long non-coding RNA, 242 nt
Organism: Vanessa atalanta (red admiral)
Lineage: Eukaryota; Metazoa; Arthropoda; Insecta; Lepidoptera; Nymphalidae
Exons: 3
Source: RefSeq, a predicted model, not a curated record
GCCGGGCUGCGCGCGCGCCUCGUCCGAACAUAAAUACAAUAAAAUAUGGAAAUGGCAAGUCAGUCCGCGACAGGUGCGCGGCCGCGGCAUUCGUGCACGUGUGCUGUUAGUGAGUGCGCCAGCGCUGCCGCUUUCUCUACAACCCUCGGCACCGCAAGCAUCUGCCGUUCCGGUGCAGCUGCUGUCCGCUGAAUAGAACGAAGCAAACCAUUCACGGAGUAGAGAUCGAUUCGACGUCUGCA